AUUGAACGCUGGCGGCAUGCCUUACACAUGCAAGUCGAACGGCAGCACGGGUGCUUGCACCUGUUGGCGAGUGGCGAACGGGUGAGUAAUACAUCGGCACAUGUCCUUUAGUGGGGGAUAGCCCGGCGAAAGCCGGAUUAAUACCGCAUACGAUCCACGGCUAAAAGCGGGGGCCCUUCGGGCCUCGCGCUAUCGGGUUGGCCGAUGGCUGAUUAGCUAGUUGGUGGGGUAAAGGCCUACCAAGGCGACGAUCGGUAUCUGGUAUGAGAGGACGACCAGCCACACUGGAGCUGAGACAGGGCCCAGACUCCUACGGGAGGCAGCAGUGGGGAAUUUUGGACAAGGGGCGAAAGCCUGAUCCAGCAAUGCCGCGUGUGUGAAGAAGGCCUUCGGGUUGUAAAGACCUUUUGCCGGGAAAGAAAACCAGGAGGUUAAUAACGCGGGGGGAUGACGGUACCGAAAGAAUAAGCACCGGCUAACUUCGUG
RNAcentral lists this ribosomal RNA (486 nucleotides) under uncultured bacterium. Its description in RNAcentral is "partial 16S ribosomal RNA". It matches the Rfam family "Bacterial small subunit ribosomal RNA", at positions 30 to 507 of the family's 1533-position model. The record is from RNAcentral.